CUGAAGGGCCAAAAUAUCUCAAAGGAACCAUAUCCCACCUGAUCUUUGAAGCUAAUCAGGAUCAGCCCUGGUUAGUACAUGGAUGGAGACCACCAAUGAAGAUCAGGUGCCUUAGGAU
RNAcentral lists this ribosomal RNA (118 nucleotides) under Anolis carolinensis (green anole). Lineage: Eukaryota; Metazoa; Chordata; Lepidosauria; Squamata; Anolidae. The record is from RNAcentral.